Equus caballus (horse) is the source of this 1346-nucleotide long non-coding RNA. The record is from Ensembl. Lineage: Eukaryota; Metazoa; Chordata; Mammalia; Perissodactyla; Equidae.
UCUGUCUCCAAAUGUGGUUGUGAGGACUCCACAAAUUCAUGCGGUAUCACAGCCAAGCGGACCUUUUAAUGAGCCCCUUCCGUGCACCAGGCCAGCGGGGUUUCACUGCAGGACCUUGACCGUUAGGGAAUCAGAGAGGAGAGGCUCCCUGGGGCUGGAAGUGCCAAGAGGUGCCCUGGAAGACGGCGGACUCGGAGUUAACAAUGGCUGAUGUUACUGAGCACUGACUGCGUUCAAACCAGCGUCCUAAACACCUCACCCAUUUCCCACCUGCGCCAGGAGCUGUAGAAUAUUCCAUCAAGCGGGCGUCUUCUUCACAACUCCCUCCCCAUUUGCUCGAGCCUGGGGUUUUUGUUCCAGCUUCUGAUGCGGCAGCAGGCAUUCCUGGGAGUAAAAUUCUUCCCUUAUCUGAUGUGACUUGGAGAAGUGAAUUCCUGACAGUGGACUUUCUGAAGCCAGUAAGCUGGUGCUGGGGGAGGUCUGGGGGACAGAGGGUCCUUCUUGGCAACCUAGUGAUGGAACCGCACCAGCCAUUGUGAGUUUCAUCCAUGCUUAAGGCCUCCCCACCCCUGUAGGUAGUUUUGAACCUCACCAUCUGAGCUGAAGGUUUCUGCUUUAUCUGCUAAAGGUGCCCACGCCCCCUCCCAGAGCCCUGGGAUGUUAUCCCCACCCUGACACUAGUGGGCUACGGGACCUUGGGCACGUGACUUCUGUGGGGCCUCUGUCUGUCAGUUCAGGGUGGAUGACCUCUCCAUCCUGCCCAGUGAGAAGACCUGAGGAGAGUCCAGUCCAGCUCUGUCCCUAAGUUACCGCAGACUCUCACGGUCCUGCAAAGCUCUCUGGGCUCAGUUUCCCCGUCUCUUUGCAAGAGGUUGCAACAGUAGAGCCACCAAGCGGGCAGACGUGAGCUCACAGGCACCCACUCGUCUUACUUACCCCCAGGGACUCGGCGCCCCUAGAGGACAGAGAUCCCAGAACCCGGUGCAGACCCCAAACCACGGAAGCACCAUGAAUGACCAUCAACAGCUUCCUCUUCGGCCCGAGCUUGCUGCUCUCUCAGGGCCUUCGAAUUUGCGAAGCCUCUGCCUGGAGCAUCUUUCCUCAGUUCCUCUCCUUACUGGCUCCAUCUCGUCACUCAAGUCUUGGCUCAGAUGACACCACUUCCAGGAGACCCUUGCUGGCCACCCUGUCUAGCGCCUGCCUGAGCUAGGCACCGGAACAGGACCGGCUGAGUGGGCCAGCAUCGGCAUGGGGGACUUGCUCCCCCCAGCAGUUCUGGGAGAAGAAAGUUGAACCCCAAACCCAAUAGGGGGCUUCAGUGGGAGGCCCAGCUGGGUUGGGGGGAC